ACGCACGCUGGCGGCAUGCCUAACACAUGCAAGUCGCACGAGACCUUCGGGUCUAGUGGCGCACGGGUGCGUAACGCGUGGGAACCUGCCCUUAGGUUCGGAAUAACUCCCCGAAAGGGGUGCUAAUACCGGAUAAUGUCUUCGGACCAAAGAUUUAUCGCCUUUGGAUGGGCCCGCGUUGGAUUAGCUAGUUGGUAGGGUAAAAGCCUACCAAGGCGACGAUCCAUAGCUGGUCUGAGAGGAUGAUCAGCCACACUGGGACUGAGACACGGCCCAGACUCCUACGGGAAGCAGCAGUGGGGAAUAUUGGACAAUGGGCGAAAGCCUGAUCCAGCAAUGCCGCGUGAGUGAUGAAGGCCUUAGGGUUGUAAAGCUCUUUUACCCGGGAUGAUAAUGACAGUACCGGGAGAAUAAGCUCCGGCUAACUCCGUG
RNAcentral lists this ribosomal RNA (432 nucleotides) under uncultured bacterium. RNAcentral's name for it is "partial 16S ribosomal RNA". It matches the Rfam family "Bacterial small subunit ribosomal RNA", at positions 29 to 507 of the family's 1533-position model. The record is from RNAcentral.